RNAcentral lists this long non-coding RNA (549 nucleotides) under Mytilus galloprovincialis (Mediterranean mussel). Lineage: Eukaryota; Metazoa; Mollusca; Bivalvia; Mytilida; Mytilidae. The record is from RNAcentral.
UCAGUCAGACACUAAAACUUCAUCAUAAACUAUAACCAAAUCAUUUACCAUAAACAGAGACGGAUGGACGAACGGACGUAAAGACUUUUAAAUAUAAUGGCUAUCUCUAUCGUCGACGGAGCAUAACAAAAUCCAAGUCGUGAAUUGAGGAACAUGUCAGUCUUGUGUCAAUCAAAAUCAAAUCUUGAGAUUUUCAGAAAUAAAGUAUAAUGCAUAAGUGCAAAUAGUAGUUGUAUAUUUGUUAAAAGAAAGUCUACAUAGGUUCGAAAGUGUCCUCGCUCUAUUGCCAACUCUGUUUCAAACCGUUCCAAUAAACUCUGAUAUGAAGUGGUGGCUUCCGACGCAUCUGUUGGUAAACCAAGUUUCAGACGAAAUAAACGUAAUUUAUUCAGUAUUCAUGUCAGGAGUCGAUACAAAUGCACUGAUGAUUUUUUGCUAGAGUAUUUCCAUGUAAUCUAGCCCCAUUUCAAAAGAAAACCUUAUGCAUUUCUCCAUUCUGUCACUUUAAAAAGGAGACAUUGAAGCUCCGUACCAUGUGUAAGGUCAAAG